Molecule: long non-coding RNA, 4044 nt
Organism: Venturia canescens
Lineage: Eukaryota; Metazoa; Arthropoda; Insecta; Hymenoptera; Ichneumonidae
Exons: 9
Source: RefSeq, a predicted model, not a curated record
AACGCAAAUUUCACAUUCCCCGAAAUUACAAUAGUGAUCAAAUAUAAAUAAUUAAUAUAAAUUAAAUCGACAGUGAUUGUUAUAAAAUACAAAGUUAAUGUGUAUGUACAUUUAUAUUUCCAGGCCUGCUUCAUCCGAUUUCAAAAUAAACUGCUCAGCUCCAGCCUCGAGGGUUCGAUUCGCGGGGUAUCUUGUUGCAGUGCGUGAGAGAGGCAGCCGCGGAUAUUAAAACUGACGUUUUUUCACGCCGUUCGUUCGCUCGGGGUGAAAAAAAGUCCCGGAUCAUAUUUUUGCCUCGCUCCGCGUGAGCCCGAACUCGUUUUUUAUAGUGACUAUAAAAGAGCGUCGAAAAGUUUGAAUCCGAAAAAAUUCGUGGUCCACAUACGCUCGAAAUUACACGGACGUUAUUGGAAUCUCGAAAUAUUGGAAUUAUUACAAGUAGGCAGCUCGGAUGGUUCCUUGGAUUUUUAAGAUAAAAGUGAAGUUUGAACCUACAUGGCGUACCGUAGAGCUUGCUUAUGUCCUUCCCAGGAUGGAUGAGAUGCUGGGGCGCAGGUGGGGCUUCCUCGUCGGCACGACCGUUUAUGGUAUUUUCGAGCGUGCCACCCUUGCUGUGUGCCUUGGGGUCGUGCACCUUGAACCGCACCUCCUGGACAACACGGGACCACUUACAAGAGACACGGCAGUUCGCUUCGGGGUUUCCCCCCUUGGUUAUACGGUUUUGUACUCAACUUUUCGAAAAGUUUUGGGAUUUUCGUCUCUGGAGGUAUUUUUCGUGCGAAAGAGGAAUGAAACGCUUUUUUUUUUUUUAUUGUUUCAGGAUCGAAAAGGUCGUGGGAGAGCAUUCACGAUGAUACGAAACGAUGGUAAUAAACAUUCGAAGAACGUUUAGAAGCUAGUUAAAAACUGAGGAGGAAAUAAUAGCGAGGCGACUCGAGAUAAAUUUUCCCCAAAAAAUACCGGAAGUGAUUCCUGGCACGAGUUUGAAAACGAGAAAUUUCGGCGCGGUUGCUUCUUCGUUGAAGGGAAGAGAAAGGGGACAUGGUUCGAGAUGAAAGAACUGAUCCGAAGGCGACAAAUUUUCUGAAUUGAAGCAAAAUAUUUAGUUAGCGAAGAAAUAAAGUUUUCACGGAGUUAUGGACAGUCGAGAGUUGUCGAGCUGUCUUUGUAUUUGUAACCAGAAAGGUACAAAGUUGCCCUAGAACUCGGUUGGCCAGCUAACAUAAAGUAGAAACGAUUCAACACCUCCGGAGACUGGGACAACGGAUUUAUGUAUGCGACUCGGACUUUUGUCAGGAUCGUAACUCCUUGGGCAAACCCGUGGGAGCUCUAACAAAAACGUAGCAGAAGCUUUCGUGCCUUGCAACGGAGUUUCGAGCGAAAUUUCCCGUAUGAGAUAACGUCGUAGGAGAGUGGCAGUGGUCGGAGACGCGGAGAGUCUACUUUGAGAGAAUUUAAGCCUCGGACCUUCGCCAAAGGGUAUUGCAAUAUUCACGAGAACUCUCGUGUUUAUUCACGCGGUUGCCGCAACCCGGUGGUCCAUGGGAUCAGCUUUAAUUUAUUUUCACCGUAUAUCCGAGUGCGAUACUCGCUCGCUCGCUUUAGGAUGCCGAGACAUUUUCACCCAACCUCGAAUGGGCCAAAUGGUGUGAGAGAAUCGACUUUGAUAUUGAAUUAAUAAUCCUUCGAGGCUCACUCCCAUAAGAUUCCCCGGACACGUAUCUAUAAAAAUACGCGUACGCAAAGGUGCGAUUGGACGAUGCAUAAAGUCCGAGAGUCCGGGUGAGCAUCCCCUCGACAACCCUCGCUCCUCUCCCAAUUGUAAAGAUUUUUUUCUACUAUUUAGAAAGCGCAGCUUUCCAUGACAAAGUAAUCAAGGGCUGGACGUUUUUCCAGGUGCGCCCUGGAUUAAGCACGUUUAUGCGUUAAAACAAAUAUCAGCUGAGAAUUCUCAACCCCUUUGCCUGCAACGAUUUAAUAUUAAAUUCACUCAACUCUUUGAGCCCCCUCGAGACUUAAGCUGACGCAUUACCGUUUUUUUUUCCACUUCGUUUCAUUAUUCAACUACUCUGGCUGCAACGAAUUCUGGAUUUUUCGUUUUCACGUGUACGAAAAGCUGUACUCACAAGAUUUAUUCGAUGCAUGAAAAUCGUGGACAAAUAAAUUCAUGAAAAACUCCAUUUUUCACUAAUCUAUUACGGAAAUCACGAUGACGAUCUUUCCACGAUUUCAACACACUCCGAAGGAUUGUACAACGUUUAGGAAAACAUUUCCGGUCUGUGGAUUCUCUCGAAUCCGUUAUCAGCGAGCCCAAUACCUCGGCAUCUGAACUUUCGAGUUAAUCGUCCGGAAGGGAAAACAUAUGCAUCAAUGGAUCAACGUUUGUUAUCCGGCUCUUUGAGCCAGAGGCCUCGCCACAGUCCGAUUCAAAAGGAAAUGUUUCAAGUUUCGAGGAUAAUGUUGACCCAACGAAAAAGAGAUUUCGACGUUGGACCAAAAGCGAUCAGCAUGUUUCGUCAAAAUGCAGCAAAUCGGGGCACUGGAGAAAGGAUCGAAUCCAGCGUUUGAAAAAAUUCGCUUCUCUUCGUUUUUUGGAGGGUUCGGGAAAGGAAGCGAUGAGCUCGGGCACCGAGUAGCCAAGAUUGAAAUUUUGGCUUGCGAUACUCACAGUUUGUUUGGGCGCGUGGUCCCCGUGAUCACCGACACCUGGAACUCCGGGUGGUCCUGGAUUUUCUCUCGCGGCUUUCAUGCUUUCCGCUAUUUUUUGGAACCUGUUCUUCCUCAUUUGAAUCCUCUUGGCCAUAUACCCGACUGUCGCGUAUUCUGCGAACGAACGACACGGAUCCAUUAAAAAAAUCCUGUUAAAUGGGCCUAAGCUACACGAGGGCUCGUAACUCAAAGUAAAAUCAGAAUGUUUUGAGACAUUUUUACUGAAAAUAAUAGUACGGAAUGGGCAUAAGAGAAUGGAACAUUGAGUUCCAUCGUUCUGAGGGCUUAGAAGAAAAAAUGGAAAUUUUUUUUUUCACGGAUCCCGAGUGAUGGGAGGCUUUGAAAAACGAUGCAGGCCGCUGGAGAGAGAACAGUGGAUUGGCGAGCUCGAGAAAAGCUGAAUAAAAAAACGAGAAUUCACAAAGCCGGCCGAGUAUGGUACAAGAUCGGAUGAUAAUCGGUACAAAUAAUGUACACGGGCAAGUGAAGCAAUGCACGAGUGGAGGUCGAAGGGUGAAUUAUAAUUAGCGAGGGCGUAAUCGGGUCGCCAAUUUUAGGCCUUAAAGGGGUAGUUUGCUGUUGCUGUUGAGUAUAAAGAGAGAUAGAAGGAAGGGGGAAAGAGGGUCGUCGGUUAAUAUACGUCCCGAGGAUCCAGUCUUGGUUCGGUGCUUUGUGGAUCCGCGUCAUCGAGAAGAAGAAGAAGACGACGGUGACGACAACCCUGACGAGGUGGAUGACGUACACACGGGCUAGAGAAACGGUUGAUGUUGACGCUGACACCGGGUACGACGUGAACUUUGGACCCUCCGUUUGUGUUGUAUCGUUGAGCCUCGACGAGAAACACCGACGCGUUUCACCACAGAAGCUUCGUACUCCUCUUUAACGUUCACCGCAGCAACGUGUUGAUUUCAUCGAAUAUAAAUAUCGUCGAAGGAGGAAAAUCGUCUUCGCAGUCACGUUGCAGCUUGUGUUUCUCUCUGGAUGAAUCGAUGACGAAUGACAGUCGCUUCGCUUCAUCAGCAGCUGGCGUUUGAUCGAAUUUUUGUUCGUUAAAAACUUGACGAUUGAAACACGAUACUUUAUUAAGCAUAGACACGAUGACGAGGAUAAUUGAGAAGUUGGAUAAAAAUAGUGAAUGAUGGAAUGACCCAUAGACGUAAAUACACAUAGAGAAGGUGCCUCCGUGGUUUAUUUCUGGUGUGCAUCGUGGCAUGAUAAUCGUUCGAUCCGCACGUUCGUUCGUUAUACCGAGGUUCAAGCCCAACGGCAAAUAUCCAGCUUCUGCGACAGGGGCGAUAAAACAAAGAAAAAAAGCUACGGUUAAGGAAGAAAGAA